Long non-coding RNA from Psammomys obesus (fat sand rat), 5529 nucleotides. RefSeq lists it as uncharacterized. The record is from RefSeq and is a predicted model, not a curated record. The transcript has 8 exons. NCBI's taxonomy places the organism in Eukaryota, Metazoa, Chordata, Mammalia, Rodentia, Muridae.
CCCCCGACCCCCCGAUCCCUCGGGCCGCCCCGGCUGCGGGCUGCUGCGAGCCGGGCUGGCGGGACGCGGGGGAGGCGCACGGCGCGGCGCGGGGAGCGGCCAGGUCCCUUCAUUCAGAGGGCAUUUAUUGGGUCGCUGGCUGCAGCACUAUAAGAAGGCUGCAAAGGAAAUGGAAGAUCCGGCCUUUGCAGGAGUUUGCAAUCGAGCUAGCAACGCAGGCAUACAUACAAGGAACAGCUAGAAAAUAGCCUUCGGGUGUUGUGUAAGCAAAAAGAGAGAGAAGUUUACCUGCCAGCCACUGUAUUCAAUGAAGUAUGAGCACCACCGUCAGGACACCUGAAGGUGAUCAUUGUUCAAGUAUUGAUACAGUUCCUACUGACAUGCCAACUUACAACUUGGGGCCAACUGUUUACAUCAGUUCUGAAAGAGAGCAGCUGCUAAGGUUAAUUACAUAUAGUGGAGAACUAGCCAUGUGACCUUCUGCAGGGAACUACAGAUUUCAUAGCCUCCUUUCUUCUCCACUGGCAUGGAGGCAGGACUGGGAUGCUGCUUGGAGAUCUGUCAGUUCUGAAAUCCCAGACCUUUGUUGGAAUUCCUGCAUUUGACCUUUCUGAGAGUGAAGAGCUCAAGAUUUUCAGGAACUCACAAAAAAAGCCUUUUGGACCCAGUGGAAUGAAGUGCCUGCAGAGGCCAAAAGAGGGUAUCAGAUUCCCCUGGAACUGGCAUUUAGUUGGUUGUAAUGGAGCCAUGUGGGUGCUGGGGAUCAAACCUGGGUUCCCUGGAAAAGGAGCCAGGGAUCUAAAUCACUGAGCCAUCUCUUCAGCCGCAGAGAAAAGUAUUUCAAAGAAGGCCCCCUUUGUGUGAGUCAGUCACGGUCGACUCCCAGAAGCCUGGAAAACCACACUUGAAAAGUUUCUGAACUGAACUGAAGUUGCCUCCACCAAGCUUGAUUACUACAAAGAGGAGAUGGCUCCUGCUUCUUCCUGAGGAAACAGUUGACUCUGAAACCACCGAGAACACGGGGUGUGGAGGAGAGAUUUCUACCACUUGUGGCUGUUUUAUGCUUCCCCAGUCUUAAGCCUCCCAUGGAGUCUGAAGAGCCAGGCUGGUGAGCCACAGAAGCACACCCAUCACUGUGCCUUCAAGGCCAGUCUGGUCUACAUAGGGAGUUCCCAAACAGCAAGGACUACAUAGACUGACCCUGACUUUAAAAGGAGGAAAAGAAAAAAGCAGGUGCCAUGGUACACACUGUUAAUCCCAGCACUGGCACUUCCAGGACAGGCAGCAGAGCUACGUGGUGAGACCCUGUCUCACAAAAGAGAAAGAGAGAUGUGGGGAAGGAGAAAGAAAAGAGGGGAUGUGUAAAGGGUCAAAGGUAGGGCAAUGUGUAUGUGCUGGGAAUUAUUAGGAGAGUUGUAGGCCGGGAAUGUUAUGGGGGGACUGACUGCCGAGCAGUGGGCAUAGGAAACCGAGAGGUAUUAUUAGAAGCCCCAUAGAAAGGUUUAGUGUGCAUGGCUUGGAGGUCAAGCACCUGCUGUUUGGGUGGUUAAGCAGGGCAGAUUUGCUCAACAUUCUAAGCUCAUAAACCCCAGCUUCCUUUGGAAGGUAGAUGGAGGCUCUGAAGAAAGGAGAGAGAAAAAAAUCCGUAACAGAGGGAAAAUAAAACUAUUCUAUGCAUGCAGGUGGGGAGGAAGGGAGAAAAAGAGCAAAUUCUGUGUGUGUAUGUGUGUGUGUUGUAUAUGUGCCUGCCUCUGUGUGUUCAUGUAUGUGUGGGUGGGUGCUGUAUACGUGCUUCUGUGUGUGCAUGUGUACACAUCUCUCUGUGUGUAUGUGUGUUAUAUAUGUGCCUCUGUGUGUGCAUGUACCUCUCUCUCACUCACUCUCUCUCUCUCUGUGUAUGUUGGUUGGUUGAUUAAAACUGAACUGAGAGCCUUGGGCUUCACUAGGAAAGAGCACCAACCAUGAGCUAUGCCCCCAGAUUCUGUAUUUCUUUUUUAUAAAGCAUCUCUGAGACACCUCUGAGGAGAUAAAUCUUUUUAGAUGUGAGUGGGAGAGUCUGAAGUGACAAGGAACACUGCAUUGCUCUCAUGUGUUGUGGCUGAUGGAAGGUAGUCCAAGCUCUGUGGAGGGCAACCUUAAGUGUUCUUGCAAAAUUAUGAAUGCACACACGUAGCCUUGUAGCUCUAUGCUACAGAUAUUUAAUAUCUGUUAAAUAUAGUUAAGUGUUUACCAAUAUCUAAUUGUAAAAUGGCAUGUGGGCAAAGUUCUUGUCACAACACUAGACAAAAAAAAAAAACAAAAAACAAAAAUAUGGAAAUGACCUAAAGGUUCAUCAGUAUGACAUGCUCUAUCAGUAAAUUAUGAUACAUCUGUACACUGACCACUGGAGCAAUUGAAAACUGCAAGAAGGAAGUUUGUAACGUAUAAUACGGGGUGAUCUUCUUGAUAUAGUGGCAAAUGAAACAAAAGAUGCCUGUGAGGAUAAGAGAAUACUAUGCCACAUAAUUUCAGCAAAAAAGAAAAAAUAGUAAAAGGAAGUACGAGCAUCUGUAUUGGCUGUUAUAACUGAAUAGAAAUCCCUGGCUAUGGGACAGGAGCAUAGAAACAACAGAAAGGAAAGGGGAUGGCAAGGCAUUUUAAUGCUUGUUUGAAAAUCUUUAUUUAAUUGGUUUUAUGGGGAUGAGUGUUUUGCCUGCAUGUAUGUAAGUGCAUCACGUGUGGCCCGGUGCCAGCAGAGGUCAACAUCUUUCCUAGAACCAGAGUGUGAGCCGGAAUGAGUUUGUGUGCCCCGUGUGUGAUUCGGGUGCCUGAUUAGGCCAGAAGAGUUGGAUGCCCUGGAACUGGAGUUACAGUUGGCCGUGAGCUGCUGUAUAGAUGCUUGGAACUGAACCCGAGUCCUCCACAAGAAGAGCCAGUGCUCCUAACCGCUGAGCUGUCUCCCUGGGUCCACAUUUUAAUGUUUUAGCCAAGCUGCAGCCUCUGUGAUAAAUUAGCUUUUCAAAACUUUAGGAGGCCAGGGAGGCCAGGCCUGGCUUCUUCUAAUCCCAGCACUUGGGAGGGUGAGUCUGAGGCAGGACGGUGGCAAGCUCCAUGAGCUACAGAGCAAAUCCCUCUCCCAGAAUCAACAACCAAAAUUAAGUGAAGUUAAGCAAAACUUUUUAGAGAUUAAAAAAAUAAGGGUAAUGAAGCUACAGCUGGUUCCAUGUUUAUGUGACAAUUUUCUUAUAUGUACAAUGGAGUAGAUAAUUCUACCUGCCUCAAGAAGGGUGUGAGGAUUCAAAACAGCAUCCAACUUCCAGCAGCAUGGAUAAGUGUCUGGGACAUAGUCAGUAAAUACAUCUGGUUAUCAUUAUUCUUCUGUGUGUGGUGCUGUGAGCCCAGUACUUGCGGAAACAGGAGGAUCUGUGGUUUAAGGUCAUUCUUGGUUACACAGUGAGUUUGAGGCUCUGUAAGAUCCUCGCUCAAUGACCAACAACAAAAUGAUCCCUUCAUUUAGUAAUUGUGUGGCCUCAGGUUAAAAGAAAAAAAAAUUAUUCUGAUUAUCAUCAUCCUUCUCUCAUACAUAAUGGAGUACAUGGAGAAAAGAAGUUGAGAAUUAUGGGAACUAUGAAGGGAGGAUGUAGAAGAGGUUAUAAAAACAAUAUUUAGCUCCCAAGAAGUUACUGGGGGGAUCUGUAUCAUUGAACCCUGGGUGUGCCUGGCUCUUCCUUACAGAAUUAACAAAGAAGUCUCUCCUGGCUCUCACACCUUGUACUUCUCUUCUGAGGUUCCGGGAUGCAAAACAGGGAUGCUAAUUGGUCUGUCUGCGGUAGGUGCCAGCCUCUGGAUGGAUCAGCAACAGGCACAAGAGAAAUAACGAAGUUCACAGUUUCUACAUUAAUACAUUCCAAAACCUGUCCCCUAUUAUGCAGUGCAAACGAGAACAGAUGGGGAAAAGUUAUGUUGGAAAGGGCUUUGGAGGGCCACAGAGAAGAGAAAUAUGACUACUCAAUGUGUCACACACCAACUUGGAGCUGCCACCAGCCCUCCCCCACACGAGCUGCGGAUGGAACCAGCCCGUGGAGCUCAGAAGGAGCAGGCGUACUGCAGGAAGGGAGUGCAAUUAGAGAACAUUCGCUGCGUUUGUGCUGCCUCGAAAAUAUGAAUAAAGAGCGGUGUAGCAGCUCAGCCAACAAAAGAGAACUCAGGCCCAAGGCUGGUCUGCAAAAUACUUUGCUGCACCCCAAGCUAUCCCACAUGUGAACCAGUAAUUGGUGCCACGCAGCUUUUCUGCAUCAAAGAGAUGCCUCUGCAUGUCUCAGGGUUGCAUUCAGGCCUCUCUGUGUCUAGAACUUGUUUUCAGAGGGUCAUACUGGCGCACAUGGGUUUCGCAGCCUUCCGGUAAGUAUUUUGCUGUUGUCACCGAGUGCUUACGAGUUCCCCAAAUAUUUCAAGCUCUGUCAAUCACAAUCUGGCAGAGGCCCCAGGGAGGUCACCCAACUUCUCUGAGCUGGAGAUCCCACAUACAUGUAGCAGAGGUUGCCGGUCUUCUUGCAGGCUUUCGAUAUUUGGGGCAUUGUAUGCAAAUAACUGACUUGUAUGUUGCUCAAUUAGUGGCAAAUGUUAUUACUGUGACGAUCAGAAAGCACUGAAAUGUUCUCUUUUCUCGAUCCAAUGUAAGUUGCUAAGAAUAUAUUCUUAGCCAUAUGUGUAUAUAUACAUAUAUGUAUAUGCAUAUAUGUAUAUGGAAAUGGCUAAGAAGCUAAGAAUUUAUGCUCGGAGUAAUUACAAGGUUAAGAUCAUUUCAGGGACUGGAGUAUCUCUCCAAUGUGCAUCACCUCUGGCUCAAUACACAGGAACAUCCCUACCUACCCCCCAAAGAAAGCGAAAAGGUUCAUGUGGUUUAGAUUAUUUGAUUCAAACAGCGAGUGAUUAAGGCCAUGGAGAUGGCAUCUAUGAAGAAAUGCUAAUGUCGCCAACAGUUGGGCAAUUGACUCCAGCAGGAAACUCUUCCAAAACUGUACCUCUCAGUGUAGAGUGAGUGUGCAAACACGUGGUGUCACUUUGAUAAAGGGAUGAAAUUUCCUUACAGCAGCAUUUUAAACGCCGUUAGUUACCCAACCCUGCCUCGGAGUGUAUUUUCAGUGUAUCUAGAGUAGAGCUGGGAGCCACAGUUAAGAUAAAAAUGAUUUGGCCAGCAAGAUGGCUCAGCCGGGUAGCGGUACCUGCCGUCUGAAAACGUAAGUUCGAUCCUACUGGGUGGAAAGAGAGAGAGAGAUUUGGCUUCUACAGGUUGUUCUCUGAUCUCUAUACAGGUGCGCGCAUGCCCCCAAUAAAUAAAUAAAUAAAUGUAACUUUAAAAGAUUAAGAUGACUGGGGUUGGGGUGGCUAAGUGGCCCAGUGGGUAAAGGCACUACUUGUUUUACGGGCCUGAGGACCGUGGAAGGGGAGAACCAACUCAAGUUUGGAAACUGCCCUUUGACCUCCAAAUCCAGGCCCUGACACUCUCUUGCCCCAUGAAUAAUAAAUAGAAUUUAAAAUUAUUACUUA